GAUGAACGCUGGCGGCGUACCUAAUACAUGCAAGUCGAGCGAACGGACGAGAAGCUUGCUUCUCUGAUGUUAGCGGCGGACGGGUGAGUAACACGUGGAUAACCUACCUAUAAGACUGGGAUAACUUCGGGAAACCGUAGCUAAUACCGGAUAAUAUUUUGAACCGCAUGGUUCAAAAGUGAAAGACGGUCUUGCUGUCACUUAUAGAUGGAUCCGCGCUGCAUUAGCUAGUUGGUAAGGUAACGGCUUACCAAGGCAACGAUGCAUAGCCGACCUGAGAGGGUGAUCGGCCACACUGGAACUGAGACACGGUCCAGACUCCUACGGGAGGCAGCAGUAGGAAUCUUCCGCAAUGGGCGAAAGCCUGACGGAGCAACGCCGCGUGAGUGAUGAAGGUCUUCGGAUCGUAAAACUCUGUUAUUAGGGAAGAACAUAUGUGUAAGUAACUGUGCACAUCUUGACGGUACCUAAUCAGAAAGCCACGGCUAACUACGUG
This 496-nucleotide ribosomal RNA is filed under the name uncultured bacterium. RNAcentral describes it as "partial 16S ribosomal RNA". It matches the Rfam family "Bacterial small subunit ribosomal RNA", at positions 28 to 507 of the family's 1533-position model. The record is from RNAcentral.